UCGAACGAGAGAGAAGGAGCUUGCUUCUUCGAUCGAGUGGCGAACGGGUGAGUAACGCGUGAGGAACCUGCCUCAAAGAGGGGGACAACAGUUGGAAACGACUGCUAAUACCGCAUAAGCCCACGGAUCGGCAUCGAUCUGAGGGAAAAGGAGCAAUCCGCUUUGAGAUGGCCUCGCGUCCGAUUAGCUAGUUGGUGAGGUAACGGCCCACCAAGGCGACGAUCGGUAGCCGGACUGAGAGGUUGAACGGCCACAUUGGGACUGAGACACGGCCCAGACUCCUACGGGAGGCAGCAGUGGGGAAUAUUGCACAAUGGGGGAAACCCUGAUGCAGCGACGCCGCGUGGAGGAAGAAGGUCUUCGGAUUGUAAACUCCUGUUGUUGGGGAAGAUAAUGACGGUACCCAACAAGGAAGUGACGGCUAACUACGUGCCAGCAGCCGCGGUAAAACGUAGGUCACAAGCGUUGUCCGGAAUUACUGGGUGUAAAGGGAGCGCAGGCGGGAAGACAAGUUGGAAGUGAAAUCUAUGGGCUCAACCCAUAAACUGCUUUCAAAACUGUUUUUCUUGAGUAGUGCAGAGGUAGGCGGAAUUCCCGGUGUAGCGGUGGAAUGCGUAGAUAUCGGGAGGAACACCAGUGGCGAAGGCGGCCUACUGGGCACCAACUGACGCUGAGGCUCGAAAGUGUGGGUAGCAAACAGGAUUAGAUACCCUGGUAGUCCACACCGUAAACGAUGAUUACUAGGUGUUGGAGGAUUGACCCCUUCAGUGCCGCAGUUAACACAAUAAGUAAUCCACCUGGGGAGUAC
RNAcentral lists this ribosomal RNA (808 nucleotides) under uncultured bacterium. Its description in RNAcentral is "bacterial SSU rRNA". It matches the Rfam family "Bacterial small subunit ribosomal RNA", at positions 62 to 883 of the family's 1533-position model. The record is from RNAcentral.